This 189-nucleotide small RNA is filed under the name Rickettsia prowazekii. RNAcentral's name for it is "partial sR19 non-coding RNA". Lineage: Bacteria; Pseudomonadati; Pseudomonadota; Alphaproteobacteria; Rickettsiales; Rickettsiaceae. The record is from RNAcentral.
AGAGUAAAAUUUAACGUAUUUGAAACAGAUAAAGCGGAGAUAAGAGUUUUUUGUAAUGAUAUUAUAGUUUUUGAAACAUGCAUUUUCUAAUUCUAUUAACUAUAACUUAAAUUGGUGAAUUACAAUAUAAAUAUUUGAUUUCAUAUUGAUUAUUUAUAAGAGGAUGCGUGGCUCCAGAAAGAUGUCUCA